AAAAUAGUUGUCUAUUCAUUAAAAAGUAUCAAAAGAAACUAUUUAUCACAAACAAUUGUAUCUGCUUCAAGUAAGGGUGGCCAUGGUCUGAUUUCAAACUGAAACCGAACCAAUCAAAAUCAAAAUCAACAUCAAAUCAGACCGAAACUACCCUUCUGUGGUUUGGUUUAGAUUCAAAUUUUUCAGAAACUGUGAAUCAGCGAUGUCAAACCGGAUUGAACUAACGAUUCCAAACCAGAUCAAACCGACAAUUUAAAUACAAAAGAAUUCAAU
This 273-nucleotide unclassified non-coding RNA is filed under the name Hevea brasiliensis (rubber tree). The record is from RNAcentral. Lineage: Eukaryota; Viridiplantae; Streptophyta; Magnoliopsida; Malpighiales; Euphorbiaceae.